UGUGUGAACAUCAGCGAGCUGCCAGAUGAGAUAGACAUCUCCUCUUACAUUGAACCAGCACGAUAAAAGAUUGGACUUCCAUUUGCUUUGCAGUUUCACUUUGAUUGAAGAUGCGAACUGUCUUUAUAUAUAAACCUGUAAGACAGCAGAUAUUUUCCUGAUCCUGUGCGUUUCGAAAGAAUCAAAGUGGUGGUUCGGCUCCCUCUGCAGGGAGGAUUCAGAAUAAACUUUAUAUAUUAUUUAAGUUUCUAAGGUCAGUGUUUGAAUUUCAUUUUGUUAUUGUUUAAAGAUAGUUGAUUUUUUUUUCCUUUUUAGAUGUGAGUGUAAGCUGAUUUAUUACCAGAGGUAGUUGUAGUACCGACAGUAGAGAAGCAAACUGUUUACUGUUGAGUGGAUUCAUAAAGAUGGUUUUUGCCUGG
This is a long non-coding RNA of Archocentrus centrarchus (flier cichlid), 419 nucleotides long. RefSeq lists it as uncharacterized. The transcript has 2 exons. The record is from RefSeq and is a predicted model, not a curated record. NCBI's taxonomy places the organism in Eukaryota, Metazoa, Chordata, Actinopteri, Cichliformes, Cichlidae.